Non-coding RNA from Linepithema humile (Argentine ant), 2073 nucleotides. NCBI's taxonomy places the organism in Eukaryota, Metazoa, Arthropoda, Insecta, Hymenoptera, Formicidae. The record is from RefSeq and is a predicted model, not a curated record.
UUUCAUAGCGAAGUGCAACCAUAAGGUGCCGCCGAGGACCGUGUAUCGUUAAGGCGCGAUAAAUGAGUCCUCGCAAUUUUAUCGGGUCGCCCAUUGUUUCACGAUCCGCUAAACGGCAUUAUUCAAGAGCGCGCGGAUCUUGUUUAGACACGAGUAUCGCCGACUAACACUGACAUCACGAUUCCUCCGUUACGUGGCUGCUUAUCAACAUGCGCGAUAUAACGGAGUGCGAUCACAAAGGCGUCUACAUUGUUCGUAAGAAGCAAAUCAAACGGAACCGCAACUAACGCUUGGGACAGUCGUCAAAAGUGAAGCGUAAAUAAAUUCUCCUCAAGAUUCUCCCGGCUGUUGUUCUCGGCGAUGUGCGCAGACGGCGAGGACACCCCCGCAAACGAGCGCGCGGACGCGCGCGCGUUCACGCUCGCUCUGUCUGUACGACCAAGGACAACAACAUUCUCCGCAAAACUAAUUGCCAGAGUGAAGAGUGCGUACGCCCUUCCGAGCCUUUUGACCCGAUCGUAGCGCACGGGGUUACAGACGAAGGGGGCAGUCUGGCGGGACUCGCAAGGGGAUGCGCUCCGCCCAGACGCGUUGCACCUCGGCUCUCCGACUGCAUCGCGGAAACUAUCGGUCCUCACAGUGGGCCGCACAGCGCCUGUAAUCUCGGGGCUCCGUAACUACUCUUCGACCGGCGACAAAAAACCAGCAGAAAAUGAAAUACGGAUUACAGUGGUUGGCCGAGAGCGGAUAAUAGUGGAUAAUGAUGACCUCUCGGCCGGUGCGCUUCGCUACCACCACCCGCUCGGAUCGCAUUUUCCCCGCCUUUUCCCCCUUUUCUCUUCCCUUUCGCCGCGUCGCUUUCCGCCCGCCGUGCGUUUAUCGCGCAUCGGGAUUUCCAUACAAAGUUGCGCCCGAUCAUCGUAACGGCGGUCCGCGGCGUGCACUCGCUGCGUUUCUCACGCGCAUCGCACGCUCGGGUGCAUCAACCUCUUCAGCAACGCUGGAAAAGAAAAAGAAUCGAGUAAUCUCUGUUCAAGUUGUUCUAAGAUUUUUGGUUUUUUUUUUGCGACGGUGCUCAAUUAAAUUCGCGAUUUAUCAGAUCUCAAUAAUCAUUUUAAGUACAAAAUGAAAAUCUUGAACAUUUUUAUGAUUAUUUUUUGUUGAAUUAAAAUAUCAAAGCAACAUGAAUUUCUAGGAUAUAAGUCCUGUUCCGUAAAAUGACACUUACAAUAUCGCUCCGGCCGAUUUGCGCUUAAUGUAUUUGAGUGUGCUUGUUCGUGCCUAUCAUGACGGCCUCGUAGCCGUAUAGUCAAUAGGCCGACGUCAAUUCGUACCGAUGAAAUAAAUCAGGCGUCGAUCGCGAGAGCGGGUGCCGGCGCGCGGACGCUCGCUCGUACAGGUGGAAUUAAUGCAUGGAGAUUUCCGAUAUAUCGAGAGCGCUGUGGGAAUAAAUCAGCCGCUAUAUGGUGAACACGACUCCGCGAGCGGAGCGCGAAAGUGCGGGGGACAAGACUUCUGCGCAACAAAUCAGACUGCGCGCACGUAGAUCCGUGAAAUUUAAUUAUCUAAGGUGAUCCAGAACAACACGCCGCGAUUAAGAUCUUAAUGGCGCGUCGGCCGUAGCGGAAAAUGUUUUGUAGUAAAUAAAAUGAAUGUGUCAGAGAUACCUCGCAUUUUUAGAAACAUUAUUUAGCAAAUGUGCCGCGACUCCUAAAGAGUUCGAUGAAUUAAUACACCGUUUGUUAUUUAAUUUCUGCUGCUGCUUUAUAUCGCACGCCGACUGCAACCAAAGUUGUUUGCCUCUCUAAAAUCGAACGGCGAGCGAGGUGUCGACGACCGCCGAGAGACUUGCGAACGCGAACAUAAAUCCAAAUUAGCGGCAACAUAACGUGUAACCGUGCGCCGAUCGGUCUCCUCCUUUCUCCUUCUCUCUGUAAGAAUGACAGUAAAUCGCGAUGCGAGCUAUCACCUCAGUCGAUCGCUCAAAUACCGAUGCCCAUUUCUAGGGCAUACCGCAAAUUCCUUCGCCGCGAAUUUAGUAUCAAUUUCAGAAAAAAAAACAAUCUUGUUAUU